UUCAAACACAGAAGUCGAACAACAGGACUAGUUCUUGAUGUGCCUUGCAUGCACACUGGUUCUUGGCCCUGGGUUCUUGCCCAGCAGAAAAUAAAACCAGGCGGAGCAUGCUGGGAAUCCCAGUAUUGGAGGGUGGAGACAAGAGGAUCAGGUGGUCAAGGUCAUCUUCCAACAUGGAGAGAUGGAGGUCAGUCUAGGAGGAAUGGCACUAUUUUAAAAGCAAACAACCCCUACCCCAAAUCUUAAUGCCCAAAUCUGAGAAAACAGUGGCAUGGCAGCCCAUAACAACCACAUAUUCCGUGUGAAUCAGAAGACCUUUCUGAUAGAGAGAAGAAAGUCGGGUGUCUAGAUGUGCAGUAAUUCUUUUCCCUGUGACUCACAUCUGGAACUGGCCUGAGCAUUGAGUUCAUCCCUGUGUGUGGCUCCAGGGAGCUGUUCAACAAGUCCUUCCUGCUGGCCCUGUGGGGCACAGGGGAGCUGUGUGAGUAGUGCUCCCUGGUGAUCCUGUGGGAGGCACAGGGGAGCUGUGUGAGUAGUGCUCCCUGGUGAUCCUGUGGGAGGCACAGGGGAGCUGUGUGAGUAGUGCUCCCUGGUGAUCCUGUGGGAGGCACUGGGGAGCUGUGUGAGUAGUGCUCCCUGGUGAUCCUGUGGGAGGCACAGGGGGGCUGUGUGAGUAGUGCUCCCUGGUGAUCCUGUGGGGGGCACAGGGGAGCUGUGUGAGUAGUGCUCCCUGGUGAUCCUGUGGGGGGAAGUCUGGAGGAAGGUUUGGAGAGCAUCAGAAAGGCAGGGAUGCUGCUGGCCCUGCAACCUGUCAGAAACUCUGGUGUUGUGCUGCCCCCUUGUGGCACUUCUGUACCAGUUCCCUGUUAGUGCACCUGGCUGGCUGAGGUCCCUGCUUCACCUGGUGCCAACCACUAGGGUGGUUGGGUGGGUUUGUGGGUGGGGUGGGGGAGGCUUGCUCGGCUAUACCCAUCUAACAUGAUUCUGUCCUUCCUUUCAUUCCUUUUCCCCAUUAUCAUAGUAAAGGAACAAAAUACCCUUCAUAGCUCUGCUGACCAGGAGAUGGCCUUGAAGAAAUUGCAUAGACACACACUGCUGUUCCAGGCUGUGUUGUUUAUAAGGCUAGACGACUGGGCAGUGAGUCAAGAGUGUGAAAUCGACACUCUGGGCGAGAUUCAGAAGCACAAGAGGACUGGGACAGUGAAUGUCUGUUUUUACAUUACCUGCUUCUUUUGUGAGACAGGAGAUCGUUCCCCAGGGUGCAAGAAAAAGAGUGAGCAGGCUUGCUGAAGCUUGUCACUUGGAGAUGGAGACAGCACAAGUGGAGGCACCUCUCAGAAGCUGAGGCAGAUGGCCCUGCACUCGGGAGCAAAGGUCACCUUGAUCAUUUCUACUGGCAUUAACCCCCCUGUAAAUCAUUGCAAUAUGUUUUCUAUGUUGGAAAUAAAAUGGCAUUGUUAAAUGAG
Peromyscus leucopus (white-footed mouse) is the source of this 1466-nucleotide long non-coding RNA. RefSeq lists it as uncharacterized. NCBI's taxonomy places the organism in Eukaryota, Metazoa, Chordata, Mammalia, Rodentia, Cricetidae. The record is from RefSeq and is a predicted model, not a curated record. The transcript has 2 exons.